GACGAACGCUGGCGGCGUGCUUAACACAUGCAAGUCGAACGGAAAGGCCCUGCUUUUGUGGGGUGCUCGAGUGGCGAACGGGUGAGUAACACGUGAGUAACCUGCCCUUGACUUUGGGAUAACUUCAGGAAACUGGGGCUAAUACCGGAUAGGAGCUCCUGCCGCAUGGUGGGGGUUGGAAAGUUUCGGCGGUUGGGGAUGGACUCGCGGCUUAUCAGCUUGUUGGUGGGGUAGUGGCUUACCAAGGCUUUGACGGGUAGCCGGCCUGAGAGGGUGACCGGCCACAUUGGGACUGAGAUACGGCCCAGACUCCUACGGGAGGCAGCAGUGGGGAAUAGUGCACAAUGGGCGGAAGCCUGAUGCAGCAACGCCGCGUGCGGGAUGACGGCCUUCGGGUUGUAAACCGCUUUCGCCUGUGACGAAGCGUGAGUGACGGUAAUGGGUAAAGAAGCACCGGCUAACUACGUG
RNAcentral lists this ribosomal RNA (468 nucleotides) under uncultured bacterium. RNAcentral describes it as "partial 16S ribosomal RNA". It matches the Rfam family "Bacterial small subunit ribosomal RNA", at positions 28 to 507 of the family's 1533-position model. The record is from RNAcentral.